RNAcentral lists this non-coding RNA (163 nucleotides) under Staphylococcus aureus subsp. aureus NCTC 8325. RNAcentral's name for it is "Staphylococcus sRNA 35 (srn_0335)". It matches the Rfam family "Staphylococcus sRNA 35 (srn_0335)". From Rfam's summary of the family: Other name: Srn_0335, SAOUHSCs258. Northern blot transcript confirmed in exponentially growing and stationary cells in three cultivation media. The record is from Rfam by way of RNAcentral. Lineage: Bacteria; Bacillati; Bacillota; Bacilli; Caryophanales; Staphylococcaceae.
GAAAUGAUAAGGGAGUGGGACAGAAAUCAUAUUUUAGCAAAAUUUAUUUCGUCGUCCCACCCCGGCAAGGUUGACUAGAAUUGAAAAAAGCUUGUUACAAGCGUAUUUUCAUUCAGUCAACUACUGCCAAUAUAAUAUUGUAAACUAUAGGACAUUUAUUAGU